CCUGACAACACAGACUUCUAAUCGAUACACGAAGAUGUGAGAAGAAAGGAGAGAACUGAGUUGUUGCUUAGCUCCUGACCAGAGCGAACUAGAAGAGAACUAGAAGAGAACUAGAAGAGAACUAGAAGAGAACUAGAAGAGAACUAGAAGAGAACUAGAAGAGAACUAGAAGAGAAUUAGAAGAGAACUAGAAGAGAACUAAGGUAACUUGGACCUAGGAAUCAACUGGCCGGACAAAACUUGAGAGUUCAUUGGCACCAUUCCACUAAGUUGUCAUAGGCAGGGCCAGGGGCCUAGAGAUCUCCCGAUCAAGUCUGGCUGUGUAUCAGCCUAUAUAUGUGAUGUGCAAUAGAACAAUGAAAAAGCUUCACCUAACAAUGUUGCUUGUGAUUCUCUAUUGUUUUGUACCUAGUAGUACAGGCUCGUACCCGUCUACUAGGACUGUGUACUAUCUCCACACUUCACCCACUACAUGGAUGGGAGCCAGUGAAACAUGCGAACGUUACGAUGGUCAUUUGGUCAAAGCUGACAAUGUCACUUCAUUGAGAGCUGAUUUUCAAACUUUGGAUAUUCAGCUGAAUAGGAAAUAUAAAUUCUCAAAUUUAACAAGCAAAGUUUGGGUUGGCCUGUAUAAAGCUGGAGGUAAGGAACUAAUGUGGCAUAAAUGUCACAAUGUGACAAAUGUCGACAAUAUCUAUGGUCAACUGUCGUCCAGCAGUGAAUCUUGUGUCAGCAUGGAUACAAACUACCAACUUAGUCCAACCAAAUGUACUGAGGAGCUGCCUUACAUCUGUCAAGUUGAUGAAGGUCAGUGCUGGUUUCUUCCAGUUGAAAAUAAACAAUUUAAAAUGGCAUCCAAUGAAACGUCAACAGAUGGUUUAAAUGAAUGUGCAAAAAAAUGCAGAAAUCGUGAUCGGAACAACAGCAUUGAAUGUUGGGCAUUUUACGUUGACUCCUCCAAUGCCACGUGUCACUUAUAUCUGACUUCAGAGAGACAUACCUAUCUAUUAAAUAGUGGUUCCUACUUGACGGCCUCAGUUGAUACAACUGUUUAUCUGAAAGUUUGUGUCGGAGGAGAUACAUCUAGCAUGAAGGCUCUAUCCAGUGCAGCAAGUUAUCCUGCUCUAGCAAACUGUACUCAUUACAAAGAUGAAGACAGUUGGCUGGAGGCUGUUUGCUACUGCGAUUGUGACCAACCCCCUAUCAUACUCUCACCUGAAUACCUUGUACUAACACCUGAGGAAAAGAUUGAAAAGAUCAUCAGUGAACUACUUGUGGAUGCCUCCAAUACAUCAGCAUCUUUUAGAAAACUGAAUAGUAUAGAUGACAAGAGACCAAGUGCACGAAGUAUUGGCUCCCUGGGAAUAAUAUUAAUAUGCUUAGUAAAUCAAUCUACAAUAAGAUGGUGCGCAAAUGUUUCAUUAGGCCAAUAGAUUCAUUCAAACAUGUUCUUGUUUGCUAAGAAAUGUCUUAGUGUACUACUGGGAGCCUAGUGACUAUUUGGAGGCAUUGUACUGUUGGAUCUGAACGUCUUGGUCUCGCAUAUUUCAGCACUGAUUGGUACAUCAAAGGACAGCAACUCUAAUAAAAAAUGAAUCAAA
Molecule: RNA transcript, 1601 nt
Organism: Biomphalaria glabrata
Lineage: Eukaryota; Metazoa; Mollusca; Gastropoda; Planorbidae
Exons: 11
Source: RefSeq, a predicted model, not a curated record